UACGUAGGGUGCAAGCGUUAAUCGGAAUUACUGGGCGUAAAGCGUGCGCAGGCGGUUUUGUAAGUCUGUCGUGAAAGCCCCGGGCUCAACCUGGGAAUUGCGUUGGAGACUGCAAGGCUUGAAUCUGGCAGAGGGGGGUAGAAUUCCACGUGUAGCAGUGAAAUGCGUAGAGAUGUGGAGGAACACCGAUGGCGAAGGCAGCCCCCUGGGUCAAGAUUGACGCUCAUGCACGAAAGCGUGGGGAGCAAACAGG
RNAcentral lists this ribosomal RNA (253 nucleotides) under uncultured bacterium. RNAcentral's name for it is "partial 16S ribosomal RNA". It matches the Rfam family "Bacterial small subunit ribosomal RNA", at positions 524 to 776 of the family's 1533-position model. The record is from RNAcentral.